CUUGCCUACAGAUAGCCCCCCAACCUUAAACGACUUGAAUCGGUUAGCAGAGUCACCAGCACAGGUACCAGACCCUGCAACAGACCCAGAUGUCAGCUCUGCCCUCAUAUCUACCCAGGAAAUACAAUUACAGGACCCAAUGGCGCAACUACACUACCUCUGGCUCUUACAGCUGCUCAUCCUCCAACGUGAUAUAUGCCCUCAUGUGCCAACAAUGUCCAUCUGCUCUGUACAUUGGACAAAACAGCCAACCUCUGCGCAAAAGAAUAAAUGGACACAAAUCUGACAUUAAAAAUGGCAACAUCCAGAAACCAGUGGGAGAACACUUCAAUCUAUCAGGACAUUCCAUCAUAAAGGUCACUGUAGUUCAACAGAAACCUUUCAAAACCAGAAUCCAACGGGAAGCUGGUGAACUGGAAUUCAUAUGUAAAUUUGACUCAGUCAGGCUUGGAUUGAAUAGGGACUAUGAAUGGUUAUCUCAUUAUCAGAAGUAACUGAUUUAAUUAUCAGAAGCAAACUGAUCCCAUUAUCAGAAGCUACUAUCCUCUCCAUCUAUAUAUCUGACCAGUUUCUUCUUACCCUCCAUGCAUCUGACGAAGAGAACUGUAAUUCCAGAAAGCUUAUGCUACAGUAAAGUUGGUUAGUCUUAAAGGUGCUACCGGACUAUUUUCUAUUUUGUCUUUGCUAAGAGGCUGGAUUCAGCAGCACUUUUUAGUAUGGCAAGCCAGGAGGACCAAAAUACUCACUGAGAUGGGCUGAGCUGUACACUCGAGCCAGAUAGUUCCAAUGAAGAGGAGCAGAUGUUUAACUAUCUUCAUUUCACCUCCUUGGAGGACUAUAAGGAAUGUCUGGUUACACCUACAGUUUCCAGUGAGGUUACGGAGUCGUCUAAGUGGGAGUUCUUUCUACAGCAGUAUAUAGGAUGCAGCCAGCGAAAUAUUAUCUUAGCGUGUGUCCAGUCCGAAUUCUUUCAUGCCCAGGAUGAAGUGAGUUUUUACUCACGAAACGGGUUAAUGGUACUUGCCUGCACAUCCCCGUCGGCGUUUUUUGAAUAAUUUAAAUUAUUGGACUGUGAAUGAUACAACACCUCUCUAUGACUCUCCACCUUCGGCUUUCCAUCAAAAUAAGACACUUGGCACUUUAAAUGAAUGUAAUGAACUGUACGGACGACAAAGACUUUUCAAUGAUAGGUGUACUGAA
Molecule: long non-coding RNA, 1200 nt
Organism: Eublepharis macularius
Lineage: Eukaryota; Metazoa; Chordata; Lepidosauria; Squamata; Eublepharidae
Exons: 3
Source: RefSeq, a predicted model, not a curated record